This 168-nucleotide ribosomal RNA is filed under the name Anopheles funestus (African malaria mosquito). RNAcentral's name for it is "eukaryotic large subunit ribosomal RNA". It matches the Rfam family "Eukaryotic large subunit ribosomal RNA", at positions 1185 to 1341 of the family's 3401-position model. Lineage: Eukaryota; Metazoa; Arthropoda; Insecta; Diptera; Culicidae. The record is from RNAcentral.
GCGCCCUAAAUAAACGACGCAUCAUAGAUACCAUGAAAUGUGUUGAUUGCUAAAGACAGCAGGGACGGUGUGGACAUGGAAUCGUCAUCGCCUAAGGAGCUGUGUAACAAACUCCACCUGCCGAAGCAAUUAGGCCCUUAAACAUGAAUGGCCGCUCCAAUCGUUUGC